RNAcentral lists this ribosomal RNA (207 nucleotides) under uncultured bacterium. Its description in RNAcentral is "partial 16S ribosomal RNA". It matches the Rfam family "Bacterial small subunit ribosomal RNA", at positions 568 to 774 of the family's 1533-position model. The record is from RNAcentral.
CGCGCAGGCGGCUCUUCAAGUCAGGCGUGAAAGCCCCGGGCUUAACCUGGGAAUUGCGCUUGGGACUGGAGGGCUUGAGUACGGGAGAGGAGAGUGGAAUUCCCAGUGUAGAGGUGAAAUUCGUAGAUAUUGGGAAGAACACCGGUGGCGAAGGCGGCUCUCUGGACCGUAACUGACGCUGAGGCGCGAAAGCGUGGGGAGCAAACA